This 253-nucleotide ribosomal RNA is filed under the name uncultured bacterium. RNAcentral's name for it is "partial 16S ribosomal RNA". It matches the Rfam family "Bacterial small subunit ribosomal RNA", at positions 524 to 776 of the family's 1533-position model. The record is from RNAcentral.
UACGUAGGGUCCGAGCGUUGUCCGGAAUUAUUGGGCGUAAAGAGCUCGUAGGCGGUUUGUCGCGUCUGCUGUGAAAUCCCGAGGCUCAACCUCGGGCCUGCAGUGGGUACGGGCAGACUGGAGUGCGGUAGGGGAGAAUGGAAUUCCUGGUGUAGCGGUGAAAUGCGCAGAUAUCAGGAGGAACACCGGUGGCGAAGGCGGGUCUCUGGGCCGAAAUUGACGCUGAGGAGCGAAAGCGUGGGGAGCAAACAGG